RNAcentral lists this ribosomal RNA (527 nucleotides) under uncultured bacterium. Its description in RNAcentral is "bacterial SSU rRNA". It matches the Rfam family "Bacterial small subunit ribosomal RNA", at positions 777 to 1304 of the family's 1533-position model. The record is from RNAcentral.
AAUAGAUACCCUGGUAGUCCACGCCGUAAACGAUGUCGACUUGGAGGUUGUGCCCUUGAGGCGUGGCUUCCGGAGCUAACGCGUUAAGUCGACCGCCUGGGGAGUACGGCCGCAAGGUUAAAACUCAAAUGAAUUGACGGGGGCCCGCACAAGCGGUGGAGCAUGUGGUUUAAUUCGAUGCAACGCGAAGAACCUUACCUACUCUUGACAUCCAGAGAACUUAGCAGAGAUGCUUUGGUGCCUUCGGGAACUCUGAGACAGGUGCUGCAUGGCUGUCGUCAGCUCGUGUUGUGAAAUGUUGGGUUAAGUCCCGCAACGAGCGCAACCCUUAUCCUUUGUUGCCAGCGGUUAGGCCGGGAACUCAAAGGAGACUGCCAGUGAUAAACUGGAGGAAGGUGGGGAUGACGUCAAGUCAUCAUGGCCCUUACGAGUAGGGCUACACACGUGCUACAAUGGCAUAUACAAAGAGAAGCGACCUCGCGAGAGCAAGCGGACCUCAUAAAGUAUGUCGUAGUCCGGAUUGGAGU